GAUUUUGCCAUCGACAGCCAUCAAUACCGUUAAGCACAACUACCUUGCUGUUUCCCAUUUAACAACAGAAAUAAAUGCUCAACUGGGACCACUGGCCGAAGUGAUUUAUUUUGAGAAAACACAACGCAUGGAGAGUACAUUAUACAUCUGUUACACUGGUGCCGUGACCCGGAUCACUGGUUGCUGCCGAAAAGGAGGAGGUCAAAAGGGGGUGAUUCACAGGGUGGAGGUGACAGAGGAGGUAGAACUGAAAUGGCCUCGUGGUUUGUGGGUGAGUGUGUCGAAGCUGAGACCAACGAGGCACGCUAGAGGUGCGAGCCACAAGGCCCUAACCAAGACCGACCCAGAUGAGUGCAAUGCUGUUGCUGAAGUGACUGGAAUUCGAAUGGCAUUGACCCCAAUGACACAAUUGUGAACAGACUGUGGUCCACGCUGUAGGAACACUAGCCGCUUCAGGCGGAUCAAGUAGAGUCACAUAGAGGACAAAGAGGAGCAGCAAGGAGAAGAGGAGAUGGGGUGAGUGUUUGCUAAACAUGGCCACUAGCCUUGGGGUAAAGGAAAGGGACAAGACAACAAGGUGAGGGCAGACAGAAUGGAAGUUUGUCAUCUGAAUGUUUGCUGAAGGCUCAGGCAAGGG
Long non-coding RNA from Oncorhynchus masou masou (cherry salmon), 637 nucleotides. RefSeq lists it as uncharacterized. Lineage: Eukaryota; Metazoa; Chordata; Actinopteri; Salmoniformes; Salmonidae. The transcript has 4 exons. The record is from RefSeq and is a predicted model, not a curated record.